Molecule: ribosomal RNA, 429 nt
Filed under: uncultured bacterium
Lineage: Bacteria
Description: bacterial SSU rRNA
Rfam family: Bacterial small subunit ribosomal RNA
Source: RNAcentral
UGGGGAAUCUUGCGCAAUGGCCGCAAGGCUGACGCAGCGACGCCGCGUGUGGGAUGACGGCCUUCGGGUUGUAAACCACUGUCGGGAGGAACGAAUACUCGGCUUCGAAUAGGAGCCCGAGGGUGACGGUACCUCCAAAGGAAGCACCGGCUAACUCCGUGCCAGCAGCCGCGGUAAUACGGAGGGUGCGAGCGUUGUCCGGAAUCACUGGGCGUAAAGGGCGCGUAGGUGGCCCGUUAAGUGGCUGGUGAAAUCCCGGGGCUCAACUCCGGGGCUGCCGGUCAGACUGGCGAGCUAGAGCACGGUAGGGGCAGAUGGAAUUCCCGGUGUAGCGGUGGAAUGCGUAGAGAUCGGGAAGAAUACCAGUGGCGAAGGCGUUCUGCUGGGCCGUUGCUGACACUGAGGCGCGACAGCGUGGGGAGCAAACAG